RNAcentral lists this unclassified non-coding RNA (2895 nucleotides) under Leishmania donovani. RNAcentral describes it as "gene:LdHU3.24.1660(CDS-product:translation_initia tion_factor_IF-2_putative)". Lineage: Eukaryota; Euglenozoa; Kinetoplastea; Trypanosomatida; Trypanosomatidae. The record is from RNAcentral.
AUCCCUUCGUGUUGAAAGCAUCUGGAUGUUUAAUGCGACGCCGCGCUGCCUGCUACUUUCAUGCAACAGGAGUUGUUCUGCGCACGUGCCGCGAAGGCGCCCUGUUUCUGCUGCCGUCAGUGCUAGACUCCAAGACAUUUGCCAAGCUGGCAAACCGCCAGGGAGCAAAACUGGAACUUCAGCUUUACGAGGAGAUCAGGAGAGCCUCACCACACCUACACUCCCGUGCCUUUCUCGACCAGGCGAAGGAGCAGGCAAGAGAGCUGUGCUCGCCGCUCACUACACUGAAAAGGGAAGAGGUCGAGUCCACUAUAGCGCAGAAGUACAAACUCACAGAUGAUCGACUUGUCACCUGCUUGGUUCCCUACCAGCUUGGAGCCAAUAUCCUCCUCUCCCGCCUACCUCCCAAGGUCAGGGAGGAGUCUCUCCGGGAAUUGAAGUCUGAAGAAGCAGCCAGGCAGAGUGGGUCUCCUCCCGCACCGAACAAGUGGAUCCAGUGGUAUGAAGCCGACGUUUAUGUUUCAACUGGAAGGAAGUACUUGGAGCGCAUCAGCACCCGUCGACAGCGUCGCAUUCCUGUCUUCGCUGUCAUGGGACAUGUAAAUCACGGUAAGACUGCCUUACUCGAUGCCUUGCAGGGGUCGCGCAUCGGUGCUGAAGAGCCUCAUCACAUCACGCAGUCCGUUCGGGCGUUCACGAUACCAAGGCCAGGCGCCGACAACGAUCUUUUUACCUUCAUCGACACUCCGGGGCACCGCAUUUUUGUCGAAACUCGGUUUCACGUGCAGCUGAUGGCUGACGUCAUCGCGUUGGUGAUCUCGGUCGCCGAAGGGAUCGAAAGUCAAACUCACGAGACGAUCAAGGUCGCCCUCAACGUUGAUAAGCCGGUGAUCGUAGUCUUGAACAAGCUAGAUCUCUUGUCUGACGCGCUUACUGCCAAGAAGGCAGUGCGGCGCAUCCUAGCAGAGCUGUACUCUAUUGGGCUCGACGUGCACCUGCUGCAAAGGGAGAAAGAUGUUGAGGCGUUGACGACCAAGGCGUCGACCGUUUGCUGCAGUAGCUGCGGCAGCAGUCUCACAGAUUUGCGUCCGCAAGCGGAAUACUUUGCACCGAUGAAGACGGUCGAUCCGGGUUAUAAGGGCAGCAAGCGGCACCCACAAGUGCAGCUGCUCCGCAAAAGCUACGGAGUGUGUGUCUCCGCUGCAACCGGAGCUCAUAUUCCCCUCCUGUGGCGCGUUCUGCAGCUUUGUCGAGAUUGUGCGCCUCCAACAUGUCUCAGCAAUUCCGUUGGGCACACGGAACACAACGCCGCCGUUCAAGCCGUUGUGUUGGAGUCUUCUAAGCACCUGUUCGACGAAGAGGGCUUUCGGCUGAACCGCAAGCGCCAGCAGAUCCAGCGGAGCAUCGAUCGAAAGCAGGAGAAACGCUUAAAGGUGUUUGAGCAACGAAGUCCUCGGUCGCGCCUGAACUCUGCAUACAACAGCGUCAAAACGCAGUCUACACGCCAGAAUCGGACCAGCUCGUCGUCCCUGGUGAUCACGGCCAUCGUCCAGGAGGGCGUUCUAACUGAGGGAAUGCACUUUAUCGCCGAUCAGGCGGAGGGCCAGGUGCACGCCUUGGUCGACUACUGGGGCAAUCGUGUUGAGAAGGCGUACCCCGGCAUGGCCGUCACGCUUAUCGACAAGAGCAGCAUGAGUGGGUGCCCCGGCGCCGGAAUCCAUGUGCUGUCCAUGACAGACCUCGCUUCGCGCGUGCGCGUACAAGCGUAUCGCCAACGGCUGCAGUGGUACGCUGAGAUUUUUACGACAAAGCUGCACUACCUCCGCCCACGGGGUAUGGACGUGUCUUUCGCCCAUCUGGGUGACUACGGUCAACUCGGCAUCACCGACUCGCUUGAAUGCCAACUCCUGUACGGGCCGCCGCAAAAGCCCUCCGAGGAGCAGAGGCAACCGGAGGCGCUACCCCCAGGGACCUCGGCGAGCGAUGAGUCCAUUGGUGCGUACCUCGCGGAGAGGAAUCGAGAGUCUGAAUCAAACGCGCUCCAAGUUUCCUCGGUGGGGUCUGUUGCGUUCCCGGACGGUGCAACGAAGCGCUUGACACAGGCAAUUAUGGGCAAAGACGAUGAAGAGGUGCUCAAGGCUACGUGGCAGAGUGCGCAGCUGCAGCGGCAGCUCACGUCCCAAAAGGAAUACGAGGAUCACGUUGCACAGUGUGUGCAGGUGGGUGUCUUAAUCAAGGUAGAUUCAUGGCACACCGCCCGCAUGCUACACCGCGAAAUCUCCCGUCUCGGCACGCGCAAGGUUUAUUUUCAAGUCGUCGGUGCGCGUUUCGGCCCUCUGCAGGUGAGCGACAUCAUUUACGUCAUGCAGGCUGUGAAGAUCAUUGUGUGCUUCCGUACGCCUCUUUCCGCGUCCAGCGACCUGGACAGCUACAUCGAGAACGCCAACUUGUGGGUGCUCCAGACCGAUCACUUCUCCGACGUGGUUCUCUUCAUGAAGUGGUGCGCGGUGGCGACGCACAAGGAGAAGGUGCUCGAUGAAAAUGACGGCGACUUAGACCACGGCGACGAGUCGGGCCCUCGGCCUCGAAUUUUUGUGGACUCGAAGCCGGAGGCGGACAGCGGUGAUCCGAAGGGAUCUAAGUCGCAGAGACAGAGGCUUCUCCUGUAUGAUGACGACAACAACGAUGACGAGUUUUGGAGCAUGUAGACUCGAUUCCCCUGGUCGUCUUCGCAAGUGCUACGCGUGCUGCCUGCAUUGUUGACGGAGCGAGCUGUCCUCCUUUUUUUCUUAUGCGGUGCUACCGACAGGUGAGCGCUGAUCGCCUGCAAGGGCUUCUCACAGAGGGUGACGGACAUUGAUCCGAAAUCGAGCACCUGACACCACCACCGCCAAC